This 69-nucleotide transfer RNA is filed under the name Urocitellus parryii (Arctic ground squirrel). Its description in RNAcentral is "Spermophilus parryii (Arctic ground squirrel) tRNA". It matches the Rfam family "tRNA". Rfam says of the family: Transfer RNA (tRNA) molecules are approximately 80 nucleotides in length. Their secondary structure includes four short double-helical elements and three loops (D, anti-codon, and T loops). Further hydrogen bonds mediate the characteristic L-shaped molecular structure. tRNAs have two regions of fundamental functional importance: the anti-codon, which is responsible for specific mRNA codon recognition, and the 3' end, to which the tRNAs corresponding amino acid is attached (by aminoacyl-tRNA synthetases). tRNAs cope with the degeneracy of the genetic code in two manners: having more than one tRNA (with a specific anti-codon) for a particular amino acid; and 'wobble' base-pairing, i.e. permitting non-standard base-pairing at the 3rd anti-codon position. The record is from Rfam by way of RNAcentral. Lineage: Eukaryota; Metazoa; Chordata; Mammalia; Rodentia; Sciuridae. RNAcentral also lists the same sequence under 1 other name.
GGGGCUGUAGCUCAGCAGCAGAGCACUUGCCUAGCAUGCAUGAGGCAUUGGGUUUAAUCCUCAGCACUA